GUAGACGGAGGGAAACGAUGACGCUUGGUUGCUUUAUAAAAUAAUAUGAGUAGCUCCAGAAUAGAGAAAUACACCGCCUACCGCCUACCGCCUACCGCCUUGAAGAUGCCACAAACCCUUUCCCACUGGUUACUUCCUUCGCCUUUAUCGAAAACUAAAUCUUUUAUUCUAGAAUGCCAACUGUAGCGUGUUUGAUUUUGUUUGCAGAAUGCCAACUGUAGCGUGUUUGAUUUUUGCUUCCAUUUUCCCAGACUUUGGUUUGACUUUAGUAAUUUGGAAAGAAUUUUAGGAGAAUGAAGUGUGUUUUAGCUCUGCCUGCCCAGAAAUUCAUAUUCAAUAGGCGGGAGUAGAGUGACAGCAGGGAGAAUAUGGUUAGUUGUAUUGAUCCUCUUGCGUUUCCAGUUGCUUUUGAAGACUUUGAGGAAUGGCGUGAAACUGGAAAUGGAAUUGAGACUCUUAAAGUUGAAUCCAAGAAAAAAAGAAAAUCCAGUAGUCAAAAAACUGCUGAGGGGCAUGGCAAGGUUCCGAAGGUUUCUCCUUAUUUUCAGAAUGACAAGAAAACAGUGAAUGUUGAAGUGCUUGAACAUGAAACUGAUUUUGAUUCUAUUACCAACUCUGGUGAAAAAAUUGCAAUUGAAAAUUUUGAAUUCCAAGGUAAGAGAACAUCUGCAAAGAACAAGACAGUGGAGCAUGCUCAAGUUCAAAAGGUUUCUCCUUUUUCUCAAAGUAACAGUGGGAAGAAGGUUGAUCAUGAAUCAUGUUGUUCUGACUGUGAGAUUGGAUUCAGUCCCAUAUCUAGUACUGGUGGUGAUUUCCUUGAGAAAAAGAAGAAAGUCGUUGAAAAUAAUCUGCAAGUGAAUGGAAACGACACAAAUGCUUAUGUUAAUACCAAGAACAUGAAAUUUAUGGCUCUGAAAAAUGUAGUCCAGGUUGGUGUUAGAUAUGUUUCCCCUUAUUAUCAGAAUGACAAUGGGAAGAAGUUUAAUGUUCAGCCACUGAAAAUCAAGUCUGCAUCCAUGGUUUUACCUACCUUUGGAAAUUUAAUGGAGGAUAAACUGGUGGAAAAUAAUGGAAGGAAGAAUAUUAUACACAAGGUACUUGAAACUCAUGCUGAUUCUAUUGCAUUAAUAUCUGAGGAUGAACCUCAAAACAUUGGAAAUGAAAUUCAGACCUCUAAAAUUGAAUCAAUGAAGAGAAAAUCCAACAGCACAAAAACAGCCCAGGAGCAUGCCAAGGUACGGAAGGUUUCUCCUUAUUUUCAGAAUGACAGUGAGAAGGCAGUUAAUGUAAAAGUCCAGGAGCUUGAAAGUGACACUGAUUCUGUAGCUUUAAUGGGUACUUGUACUUUUGGACAUAAAAUUCCAAUUGAAAUGUUUAAAUAUGAAGGAAAGAAGGAUGAACCUCAAAACAUUGGAAAUGAAAUUCAGACCUUUAAAAUUGAAUCAAUGAAGAGAAAAUCCAACAGCACAAAAACAGCCCUGCAGCAUGCCAAGGUACGGAAGGUUUCUCCUUAUUUUCAGAAUGACAGUGAGAAGGCAGCUAAUGUAAAAGUCCAUGAGCUUGAAAAUGACACUGAUUCUGUAGCUUUAAUGGGUACUUGUACUUUUGGACAAAAUAUUCCAAUUGAAAUGUUUAAAUAUGAAGGAAAGAGGACAUCUGAAAAGGAAGAGACAACUGAACAUGCUCAAAUUCAAAAGGUUUCUCCUUUCUUUCAAAGCAACAAUGUGAAAAAGGUUGGUGCUGAAUUAUGUUGUGCUGGUGGUAUGCUCCUUGAGCAUAAGCCGCUGGGAGAUGGAAAUGUAACUGAAAAUGGAUUGAUUAAUAUCAAGAAGAAAACCAUUUCCAAUAAACGGCAGGGGAAUGGAAAUGAUACCACUAGUAAAGUUAAAUUCAAGAAGACCAAACCUCUAGUUCAGAAGAAUGUUGCCAAUGGUAUUAGAUAUGUUUCCCCUUAUUUUCAUAGUGAUAGUGGGAAGAAGAUUGACGUGAAGACAAAGCCUCUAGUUCAGAAAAACGUUGCCCAUGCUAUUAGAUAUGUUUCCCCUUAUUUUCAUAAUGACAGUGGGAAGAAGAUUGACGUGAAGACAAAGCCUCUAGCUCAGAAGGAUGAACCUCAAAACAUUGGAAAUGAAAUUCAGACCUUUAAAAUUGAAUCAAUGAGGAGAAAAUCCAACAGCACGAAAACAGCCCAGGAGCAUACCAAGGUACGGAAGGUUUCUCCUUAUUUUCAGAAGGACAGUGAGAAGCCAGUUAAUGUAAAAGUCCAUGAGCUUGAAAAUGACACUGAUUCUGUAGCUUUAAUGGGUACUUGUACUUUUGGACAUAAAAUUCCAAUUGAAAUGUUUAAAUAUGAAGGAAAGAGGACAUCUGAAACGGAAGAGAUAACUGAACAUGCUCAAAUUCAAAAGGUUUAUCCUUUCUUUCAAAGCAACAAUGUGAAAAAGGUUGGUGCUGAAUUAUGUUGUGCUGGUGGUAUGCUCCUUGAGCAUAAGCCGCAGGGGGAUGGAAAUGUAACUGAAAAUGGAUUGAUUAAUAUCAAGAAGAAAACCAUUUCCAAUAAACGGCAGGGGAAUGGAAAUGAUACCACUAGUAAAGUUAAAUCCAAGAGGACGAAACCUCUAGUUCAGAAGAAUGUUGCCAAUGGUAUUAGAUAUGUUUCCCCUUAUUUUCAUAGUGAUAGUGGGAAGAAGAUUGACGUGAAGACAAAGCCUCUAGUUCAGAAAAACGUUGCCCAUGCUAUUAGAUAUGUUUCCCCUUAUUUUCAUAAUGAUGGUGGGAAGAAGAUUGACGUGAAGACAAAGCCUCUAGCUCAGAAAAAUGUUGCCCAUGCUAUUAGAUAUGUUUCCCCUUUGGAUGAGGGAGGCAAGUUGGAAUCUAUUGCUUUACACACUGCUGAAAAUUUUGUGGAGGAAAAUAAAUCCAGUGAAAAAUCUAUUGAAAUUAAAAGAAAUCUUUCUGCUUCUGAGAAGUGGGACGAGGCAUAUGAAAGAAAAACCCCUGAUAAUGCAUGGAAGCCUCCACGGUCUGCGAUUGUUCUCAUUCAAGAGAAUCAUGCUCAUGACCCUUGGAGGGUAUUGGUUAUCUGCAUGCUUCUCAACCGGACUUCUGGUACACAGAUGAUCCUCUCUUCACACCUCUCCUUGAGUUUCUGGCAGUGUAUGUUUUGUUCAUGACUUGUCCCUAGGGCUAGACAAUCUUUCUGCUUGUGCUAUCAAAUGUGUCUUCUUAGGCUAUUCUCGACGUCAAAAAAGGUACCAAUGUUACUCUUCUGAAACCAAGAAGCACUACAUGACUGCCUAUGUUACAUUCUUUGAAUAGACUCCUUACUUCUCUUCAUCUAUUCAAGAUGUUCAUUUCCUCCAGCAGGUCCUCCUAUAUUCAAGAUGUUAAUUUCUCUCCAAUAUUUCCAAUGUCUUUGUCAAUCCAAGUCUUGAUCCAAGGAGACGUCGUACAUCAUUAGCAAAAAUGUUUUGUGCCCUUUUCCAAAAAGAGAAGCAUGUCUUAUAAGGUCUCAAAAUUUCUAAGACCUCUUGCUUAACAAAUUACCAUAAAACAACACAUAACUGAAACUCCAGCUUUUUCUACUUAGGUUUUUCUUCAUCCAAAACAGUAGAGACAUCUUGUUCAAGAUGAUUAUGGUAUCCUUGACCAAGAAACCACAUAUGCAAGACUAAAAUAAAUAAUUUUUCCAAUUGAGCUUUGCAGUGGUAAUAGUAGUAGUAGUAGAUAGAGAGGAAGUCAUUCCAAUAGGAGAAGUGAUGCCAUUCCAAAAGAAAAACAGCUUUGAGAGGAAAACCCUAGGAUUCAAAAAAAAUUUAGCUUUGAGGAAAAAACCCUAGGUCAAAGUUACAACUAACGAAAUAGAAGGAUAAAGACAACAACACGUUCAGGAGGCUCUGGCGAGGCGACGGUGUGGUGUGAUUCCAACACUAAGAAGGCGACGCGUGACGAAAACGUGCCUAAAGUUGGCUAGAAAAAGAUGGCACAUGCAAAGGUUUCUGAGGUGGAGACAUCUAGGGCUGAGUCAUGCUUCUUGAGGUGGACCUAAUCUUGACUUUGCCGAAGAAGAUGCAAUGGCGGACGACGGUGGCGACAGCAGCGGGAAUGGCAAAAACAGUGGAGGACAACCACGCCAAUGAUGGACAGGGAAGAUGAAAUGACAAAAAAGAUUGUGUCAGACUUCUUCAAGUUAUGUCCGGAUGCGAAAUCUUGCACAGAAGUUGCAAGAGAGGAAAUAGAAGAGACAAUAAAAACUCUAGGUUUUCAACACAAAAGAGCAAAUAUGGUACAAC
This is an RNA transcript of Vigna angularis (adzuki bean), 4292 nucleotides long. RefSeq lists it as uncharacterized. Lineage: Eukaryota; Viridiplantae; Streptophyta; Magnoliopsida; Fabales; Fabaceae. The transcript has 4 exons. The record is from RefSeq and is a predicted model, not a curated record.